RNAcentral lists this ribosomal RNA (482 nucleotides) under uncultured bacterium. RNAcentral describes it as "bacterial SSU rRNA". It matches the Rfam family "Bacterial small subunit ribosomal RNA", at positions 28 to 507 of the family's 1533-position model. The record is from RNAcentral.
GAUGAACGCUGGCGGCGUGCCUCAAACAUGCAAGUCGAGCGGGGCGUAUGGUAAUAUCGCAAGGUAGAACAAUAGCCUAGCGGGCGAACGGGUGGAGCAAACACGUGGGGUAACCUGCCUGGAAGACAGGGAUAACGAUUCGAAAGGGUCGCUAAUACCUGAUAAUAUCCUUUCAUCGCAUGGUGAUAGGAAGAAAGGGGAAACCCGCUUUCAGAUGGGCCCGCGUCCCAUCAGCUAGUUGGUAAGGUAAAGGCUUACCAAGGCGACGACGGGUAGCCGGUCUGAGAGGAUGUACGGCCACACUGGGACUGAGAUACGGCCCAGACUCCUACGGGAGGCAGCAGUUGGGAAUCUUAGGCAAUGGACGAAAGUCUGACCUAGCGACGCCGCGUGAGGGAAGAAGGCCUUCGGGUUGUAAACCUCUGUCAUGGGGGAAGAAGUAAGUGACGGUACCCCAAGAGGAAGCCCCUGCUAACUACGUG